CCUACGGGAGUCAGCAGUGAGGAAUAUUGGUCAAUGGGCGAGAGCCUGAACCAGCCAAGUCGCGUGAAGGAUGACGGCCCUACGGGUUGUACACUUCUUUUGUCAGGGAGCAAUUGAGUCCACGUGUGGUCUUAGCGAGAGUACCUGAAGAAAAAGCAUCGGCUAACUCCGUGCCAGCAGCCGCGGUAAUACGGCGGCUGCGAGCGUUAUCCGGAUUUAUUGGGUUUACAGGGUGCGUAGGCGGUAUUUCCAUUCAGCGGUAAAAAUUCGGGCCUCAACCCCGUCGUGCCGUUGAAACUGAUGAUCUUGAGUGGGAGAGAAGUAUGCGGAAUGCGUGGUGUAGCGGUGAAAUGCAUAGAUAUCACGCAGAACUCCGAUUGCGAAGGCAGCAUACCUGCGCCCAACUGACGCUGAAGCACGAAAGCGUGGGUAUCGAACAGGAUUAGAUACCCCAGUAGUC
Molecule: ribosomal RNA, 460 nt
Filed under: uncultured bacterium
Lineage: Bacteria
Description: partial 16S ribosomal RNA
Rfam family: Bacterial small subunit ribosomal RNA
Source: RNAcentral